AACAGGGACAGACACAGGAGCUCUAGAGGAGCACUGAGGAGGAGUUCAGCUUACACUGCCUCAGGCGCGGCGGUGGACCUGACGCUGCUGGCCAACCUGCGGCUCACGGACCCCCAGCGCUUCUUCCUGACUUGCGUGUCUGGGGAGGCCGGGGCGGGGAGGGGCUCGGACGCCUGGGGCCCGCCCCUGCUGCUGGAGAAGGACGACCGUAUCGUGCGCACCCCGCCCGGGCCACCCCUGCGCCUGGCGCGCAACGGUUCGCACCAGGUCACGCUUCGCGGCUUCUCCAAGCCCUCGGACCUCGUGGGCGUCUUCUCCUGCGUGGGCGGUGCUGGGGCGCGGCGCACGCGCGUCAUCUACGUGCACAACAGCCCUGGAGGUGAGUUAGGCAGGCGGGGGGAUGGCGCGGGGAAAACCAGGCCGCUGACCCACCUUCCACCCCGCAGCCCACCUGCUUCCAGACAAGGUCACACACACUGUGAACAAAGGUGACACCGCUGUACUUUCUGCACGUGUGCACAAGGAGAAGCAGACAGACGUGAUCUGGAAGAGCAACGGAUCCUACUUCUACACCCUGGACUGGCAUGAAGCCCAGGAUGGGCGGUUCCUGCUGCAGCUCCCAAAUGUGCAGCCACCAUCGAGCGGCAUCUACAGUGCCACUUACCUGGAAGCCAGCCCCCUGGGCAGCGCCUUCUUUCGGCUCAUCGUGC
This 710-nucleotide long non-coding RNA is filed under the name Homo sapiens (human). RNAcentral describes it as "HSALNT0005871". The record is from RNAcentral. Lineage: Eukaryota; Metazoa; Chordata; Mammalia; Primates; Hominidae.